AUGAAAAUGAUCAGUUGGAACUGUAGAGGGCUGGGUCGGCCUCGUACAGUUCAAGAAUUAGUUUGUAUCAAUAAAGCUUACCGACCCAACAUCAUUUUUCUUUCUGAGACUAGGCAAAAUAAAGAUUAUGUUGAUAGUUUGCGGUACCGUUUGGGUAUGAAAAAUGUUUUUUCUGUUUCGGGUAAAGGCAAAGGUGGUGGUUUAGCGAUUUUCUGGGAUGAGAGUUUCUCUAUGGAGUUAAACAAAUUUGGGGACCAUUUUAUUGAUCUAUACAUAUGUAACAGUGAUGGAUCAAGAUGGAGAUGCACUUGUGUUUAUGGAGAACCAAAGGCGACCCAAAGGUAUGUCAUGUGGGAGCUUUUGCGACGAGUUAAACUGCUGGGUUCUGGUCCCUGGUUUAUGGUCGGCGAUUUUAAUGAAGCUAUGUGGCAGUAUGAGCAUUUUUCUCGUAUUAAAAGAUCGCCUAAGCUCAUGGCAAAUUUCCGGGAGCUUCUUUCUGAUUGCAAUUUAUUUGAUCUAGGUUUCCAUGGAGUGCUGAUAAUAAGCAGGAUGGCCUCCGAAAUGUGA
RNAcentral lists this ribosomal RNA (567 nucleotides) under Triticum aestivum (bread wheat). RNAcentral's name for it is "partial small subunit ribosomal RNA". Lineage: Eukaryota; Viridiplantae; Streptophyta; Magnoliopsida; Poales; Poaceae. The record is from RNAcentral.